UACAGAGGUCUCGAGCGUUAGGCGGAAUCACUGGGCUUAAAGCGUGUGUAGGUGGAUCGUUAAGUACCUUGUGAAAUCCCACGGCUUAACCGUGGAACUGCUUGGUAUACUGGCGGUCUUGAGCCAGCUAGGGGCUACCGGAACAAAUGGUGGAGCGGUGAAAUGCGUAGAUAUCGCUUGGAACGCCGAAGGUGAAAACAGGCUGCUGGGGUUGCGCCGACGCUGAGACACGAAAGCCAGGGGAGCAAACGGG
This 253-nucleotide ribosomal RNA is filed under the name uncultured bacterium. Its description in RNAcentral is "partial 16S ribosomal RNA". It matches the Rfam family "Bacterial small subunit ribosomal RNA", at positions 524 to 776 of the family's 1533-position model. The record is from RNAcentral.